This 484-nucleotide ribosomal RNA is filed under the name uncultured bacterium. RNAcentral describes it as "partial 16S ribosomal RNA". It matches the Rfam family "Bacterial small subunit ribosomal RNA", at positions 30 to 507 of the family's 1533-position model. The record is from RNAcentral.
AUUGAACGCUGGCGGCAGGCCUAACACAUGCAAGUCGAGCGGAUGAAGGGAGCUUGCUCCUGGAUUCAGCGGCGGACGGGUGAGUAAUGCCUAGGAAUCUGCCUGGUAGUGGGGGAUAACGUCCGGAAACGGGCGCUAAUACCGCAUACGUCUUGAGGGAGAAAGUGGGGGAUCUUCGGACCUCACGCUAUCAGAUGAGCCUAGGUCGGAUUAGCUAGUUGGUGGGGUAAAGGCCUACCAAGGCGACGAUCCGUAACUGGUCUGAGAGGAUGAUCAGUCACACUGGAACUGAGACGCGGUCCAGACUCCUACGGGAGGCAGCAGUGGGGAAUAUUGGACAAUGGGCGAGAGCCUGAUCCAGCCAUGCCGCGUGUGUGAAGAAGGUCUUCGGAUUGUAAAGCACUUUAAGUUGGGAGGAAGGGCAGUAAGUUAAUACCUUGCUGUUUUGACGUUACCAACAGAAUAAGCACCGGCUAACUUCGUG